This 1341-nucleotide long non-coding RNA is filed under the name Anser brachyrhynchus (Pink-footed goose). RNAcentral's name for it is "lncRNA (ENSABRG00000017223.1)". Lineage: Eukaryota; Metazoa; Chordata; Aves; Anseriformes; Anatidae. The record is from RNAcentral.
UCAUGAACACAGGUGAAAGACGCAGAAAUCCCCGUGUGGCCCCUGUGAGCAUGCCUACAUCAGCACAAUGAACACCAUUUUGUUUAGUUUAGAGGCAUGACCUGACAUCUUUUUGAACUGCAAGCAAACAUUUCAGCAACCAAAUUGUUUCCUCUGUAACAAACUAUUUGCUCCUGUUGGGGCAGUGCAUUAUGCACACUGACUACAGUGUCAUCUCAGUAUUUUGUCUAAGAGAAAAUCUUGAAUCAGACACCGGGGUAAUACCUCAGCCUACAGUCAAGCCUCACACCAGACUUGGCCAUUCCCUAAUGAGUUUUCAGUUUAAGCAAACAAGACAGGUACACAAAAUGAUUGCAGAAAUCAGAGACAGAAGAAGAUGAAAACAGUUCCAGUCUGUAAGGCUGUGGAUUCUGGGCUCUGCCGUGGUGUCCUUUGAGAAAUUCUAUUUCAUGCGGGAACGAUAUGGGCUCACCAUGCUUGCUGCACCUCAGCAUGACUCCAUUAAAACUGAUCAGCCUUGGAGUUUUCUAAAUCAUCUGUCACUGUAAUAUCCUGCUGACAACUCUAUGCUCCUCUGAGCUUGCUGAAAAACCUCAAGAAUGUCCUGGAAGAAGGUCUCAGUGUUACUGGGGAAACCACAGCCUAGAAACAGAGAGUGCAGCAGCAGAGGUCUUAGCAGAGGCGCUGCAAGAUAUGAACACUGGUGCACCAUGUGCAGAAAGCUGCUGUUACCAGCCCAGUAUCCACCCGGCUGGAGUCAGCAGGAAGGAGCAUGAGCUCAGUUUUUUCUUCACACUGAAGAAUCAGGAUCUGAACUCAUUUCUGUCAUGGUUUAACAUCCUCAGCAUGUCUGAACAUCUUUCUGCACCAUUUUUAGGAUGCUGUAACCCAGCUCUCCUCGCUGCCUGGUGGUCAGAGAUUAGAGGACUAGGAUGUUUCACUGGCAGACGGCAGGGUCUUGCUUCAACAUCAAAAGCUAACUACCAUAGAUUGAUCAAGAAAUUACAGAGUGGAAGACAAAUUUUCAAUGCAUAUAUGUAAUGCCAGGAGAAUUUUCUUCAGAUUCAGCACCACAAUUUAGUACAACAGCAAAGUUCAGGGAGAAAAAAAGAUUUGCUGACAGAAAAGCCUGAACUUCUCAGCAGCAGCCCAGCUAACAUUUCCUGAAAUGGCAAUUGCACUAUAAACAGACUCACUCUGUUGGCUGUAGGGCACUGUCUCAUCUGGAAACACCCAUUUCGCAGUGGCUGCACAAUUAACAGAUAUUUCCCUAAUAAUUCACUGUCUGGAAUAUUUUGCUUUUUUUUUCAAUAAAAUUUCCUUGCCACUAAAAAGUGUACA